GUAAUGGUGUCUUUAGACACCACCAUAUAUAUUCAAAAUUCUUGUU
This is a non-coding RNA of Picea glauca (white spruce), 46 nucleotides long. The record is from Rfam. NCBI's taxonomy places the organism in Eukaryota, Viridiplantae, Streptophyta, Pinopsida, Pinales, Pinaceae.